UACGUAGGGUGCGAGCGUUAAUCGGAAUUACUGGGCGUAAAGCGUGCGCAGGCGGUUCGUUAAGUCAGAUGUGAAAGCCCCGGGCUCAACCUGGGAACUGCAUUUGAAACUGGCGGGCUUGAGUGCGGCAGAGGGGGGUGGAAUUCCGCGUGUAGCAGUGAAAUGCGUAGAGAUGCGGAGGAACACCGAUGGCGAAGGCAGCCCCCUGGGCCGACACUGACGCUCAGGCACGAAAGCUAGGGGAGCAAACAGG
RNAcentral lists this ribosomal RNA (253 nucleotides) under uncultured bacterium. RNAcentral's name for it is "partial 16S ribosomal RNA". It matches the Rfam family "Bacterial small subunit ribosomal RNA", at positions 524 to 776 of the family's 1533-position model. The record is from RNAcentral.